AACGAACGCUGGCGGCAUGCCUAACACAUGCAAGUCGAACGGGACCUCCGGGCUUAGUGGGGGACGGGGGCGUGACGCGGGGGAACCUGCCCUUAGGUUCGGAACAACUCCCUGAGAGAGGUGUUAAUAACGGUGAAUGUAAUCGGACCAAAGAUUUAUCGCCUUUGGAUGGGCGCGGGUAGGUUUAGCUGGUUGGUAGGGUAAAAGCCUACCAAGGCGACGUUGCAUAGCUGGUGGGAGACGAUGAUCAGCCGGAAUGGGACUGAGGCACGGCCCAGACUCGGACGGGAGGGAGCAGUGGGGUGUAUUGGGGGAGGAGGGAAGGCGUAGUACAGCCGUGCGGGGGAAGUGAGGAAGGCCGUAGUAUUGUAAAGCUCGUUUAGACGGGAUGAUAAUGACGGUACCGGGAGAAUAAGCACCGGCUAACUACGUG
RNAcentral lists this ribosomal RNA (433 nucleotides) under uncultured bacterium. RNAcentral describes it as "partial 16S ribosomal RNA". It matches the Rfam family "Bacterial small subunit ribosomal RNA", at positions 29 to 507 of the family's 1533-position model. The record is from RNAcentral.